This 301-nucleotide ribosomal RNA is filed under the name uncultured bacterium. RNAcentral's name for it is "partial 16S ribosomal RNA". It matches the Rfam family "Bacterial small subunit ribosomal RNA", at positions 509 to 809 of the family's 1533-position model. The record is from RNAcentral.
CAGUCGCCACGGUAAUACGGAGGGAGCUAGCGUUGUUCGGAAUUACUGGGCGUAAAGCGCACGUAGGCGGUUAUUCAAGUCAGAGGUGAAAGCCCGGGGCUCAACCCCGGAACUGCCUUUGAAACUAGAUGACUGGAAUCUUGGAGAGGUCAGUGGAAUUCCGAGUGUAAAGGUGAAAUUCGUAGAUAUUCGGAAGAACACCAGUGGCGAAGGCGGCUGACUGGACAUGUAUUGACGCUGAGGUGCGAAAGCGUGGGGAGCAAACAGGAUUAGAUACCCCAGUAGUCCCUGUCUCUUAUCA